This 514-nucleotide long non-coding RNA is filed under the name Solanum tuberosum (potato). RNAcentral describes it as "long non-coding RNA (STUB_LNC009390)". Lineage: Eukaryota; Viridiplantae; Streptophyta; Magnoliopsida; Solanales; Solanaceae. The record is from RNAcentral.
AUGAUACUACAAAGGUUCUCCUUUGAACUCUCUCCAUCAUAUACACAUGCUCCAUUUGCAGUAGUGACUAUUCAUCCUCAGUAUGGUGCUCCUCUGCUUAUGCGCAAACUCUAAUAUGAUAUUUUACACCAUUGGUGUUGUAUGUUGACAUUAUCAAAAUUUAUUGGUCAACUAUUCAUAGGUCUUCUCUGAUGAGCCUCAUUUGGCCUCUUGGUGGAGCAGAAGUUUCUUCUUAAAGUUGUGUAGAACAUAUAUAUAUAUAUUUCUAUUGCACGUCUAUGUUCAUUUUGGUUUGUCCAUAUGUAAGAAUCAACCAAAAUAAACUACUGCUAUGUUUCUAAAGUGUUCUGUACUUUCUUAUUUUCUUUGGCCUGUAUAUACUUACCUCUUCAUUUGUGUCUUAACCUCUAUAUACCAUGAAACAUACUUGAUAGUUUGAGACAUAAAUAGACAUCUUAAUCUGGCGUCAGUUGAAAUUUAACACUCCCAAGUUUGACGAUGCAUAUCUAGAUAC